Lutra lutra (Eurasian river otter) is the source of this 460-nucleotide long non-coding RNA. RefSeq lists it as uncharacterized. The transcript has 3 exons. The record is from RefSeq and is a predicted model, not a curated record. NCBI's taxonomy places the organism in Eukaryota, Metazoa, Chordata, Mammalia, Carnivora, Mustelidae.
GGAGGGCAGGGAUGGGUAGUCAUCGCUGAGUUCAAACUUGCUGCCCUGGAAGUUCUCCCCCUCGAACAGUGUCACACGGCUGUCACUGUGAUUCUGAAAGGUGGGAGUGGACAGGUCAGGCCCUCCAAAGAAGUGUUAAUGGGCCCUUACCCUGACAUACACAGCUCAUGGCAAUCUGGCCCCCUCUAGAAGCUGAAGACCCUAAAUCUUACUAUCCAGGAUUUGAGGGACCCAGACUUCCAGCUUAGGCUCCGCAGGUUGGAAGGAAUUUUCCAGCUUCUGAAGAUCACCCGACCAAGAGUUCCUACCUCAAGCAUUUAGGUGCUUGCAAAGAGCGCACCCUGCGCAGGCCUCCGCGCUCCGCGACGUUCGCGCAGUCGCUCAGCAGCCGGCAGCGGCGGCCCUGGAAGUCCUCCUCGUCCCAGAGCGUGAGGCUGGCGGGCGCCGGGCCCGGAGCAGG